Molecule: transfer RNA, 64 nt
Filed under: Gehyra variegata
Lineage: Eukaryota; Metazoa; Chordata; Lepidosauria; Squamata; Gekkonidae
Description: tRNA-Trp
Source: RNAcentral
GGGCUUAGGUUAAACAAACCAGGAGCCUUCAAAGCUCCAAAUAAGUAUUCACACUUAGCCCCUG